GGGGUGAUAGCUCAGUUGGGAGAGCGCACGACUGAAGAUCCACUCAGUCCGUCAGUUCAGCUGGCAAUCGUGAGGUCACCGGUUCAAUCCCGGUUCAUCCCA
Molecule: transfer RNA, 102 nt
Filed under: Aspergillus melleus
Lineage: Eukaryota; Fungi; Ascomycota; Eurotiomycetes; Eurotiales; Aspergillaceae
Description: tRNA-Phe
Rfam family: tRNA
About the family: Transfer RNA (tRNA) molecules are approximately 80 nucleotides in length.
Source: RNAcentral